UUUCAGGCAUGAUACUGGUGUGAGAUGGAUUCUUUUCUUUCAAGGUAUCAAUGCACUUCUGUUAUGCAUUUCUGUUCAAGGGAAUUCCAGCAUCAUUAGGCGUCAGUGCUGCCGAGCAGUUCUAUGUUAACUCUCUUGCUGUUCCGCGCAAAGCGAAAGAAGCUAUUGGAGGCAGAACCAAGCUUACUUAUGCUGAUGGUAUGUUAUAAAAUGUCUUUUUCCUACCACUUAUACCCGGGGGAUUCAUGUAUUACAGUAUGUUUACUAUUUGUAGAUUAUACUGCUUACGUGUUUUAAAAAAAAUUGUAUAUUAUACUUGGGUGAAACCUAAAUAAUUGUUUUUGGUUUGGGAGGGAAGAUGGGGUUGUUAAAGACAGGAUCAUUACAUGUAUUGUUUUUCUGGAC
Mangifera indica (mango) is the source of this 405-nucleotide long non-coding RNA. RefSeq lists it as uncharacterized. NCBI's taxonomy places the organism in Eukaryota, Viridiplantae, Streptophyta, Magnoliopsida, Sapindales, Anacardiaceae. The record is from RefSeq and is a predicted model, not a curated record. The transcript has 2 exons.